RNAcentral lists this long non-coding RNA (1204 nucleotides) under Musa acuminata (dwarf banana). Its description in RNAcentral is "long non-coding RNA (MACU_LNC001073)". Lineage: Eukaryota; Viridiplantae; Streptophyta; Magnoliopsida; Zingiberales; Musaceae. The record is from RNAcentral.
AAUACAAUUCAUGAUACAACCAGAGAUAAAAGAACAAAACGAAGAAAGGAGAACAUUAUAAGACUCAAAGCAUUUGUAAGUAUUCAUAAACUAGUAUCCAGCUUGCCCUAGAUGAUAGUAAAUGAUAAUAACUUCAGAAAUAAUUAAGGCAUUACCACUUCUCAAUGUAGAUAUCUGUAUCAGACAGUUGUCAUUAUGCUAACUAUUUAUAUGGUACAAGAAUGAGUAAAUCAAUGUUAAAUUUAUUUGCAUUUGCAAGACUAUUAAAAGAUCUAGGACAAACUAAUGAAUGAAAAUUAACAUCUAUGUCUCUUUGUAAAGGCCAAGGAGAAAUACGUUAAAACAAUGAGUAGCCAGACAAAGGUUCAUUACAUUUUCUAAUUCAGAAGAAGCUAAUGUAACUGUAAACCAACAUAAUUCAACUUUAGCAUCACUCCCAAUGUUUUGGAUCAUAUGGGUGUGUUCACAAUGCUGAAAAAAUAACUACAAGCUUUACUAUAUAUGCACUCAUAAAUGUUUCUGUCUGAAUUGACAAUUCGGAGCAAAUAAAAUUGCAGGAACUGGAAGAGGAGAAAAUAAAAACCAAGUCGAAGCAUGGGGAUCAUAAUAAGUUCACUUUGAUAAAAUUACUCAUAUUAAAGAAAGAAAAUCUAGAAUUAUUUUAUGCAUGUAAAUUCAGAAUAUUUGCAUUCUAGUUUCUUUCUUUAAGAUGAAAUUUUGAAUAUGAAAGAAACAAUCAUGAAUAAUAACUAGCAUUACCUAUAUACUUGUAUAUGCAAAAUCUUAAGAAGAUAGGUGUAUGCCUUUAUCUUAAGAAGAUACAUGGAUGCCUUUAAUCAUGAAUGUUGCUGUCAUCUUGUAUUUCCUGAUGCUGUAUGCCUUCAAACUAACUAUACUAAAAUCAAUUUUGAGAAAACUGAGAGGGCUGUUCUUUAAUUUACAUCAUACAGGUCAAUUAUGCUGAGACUGGCACAUGUCAUGCUUUAAGAGGCAUUCCUCCAUAUAACAACACUCGCAAGUACCUUGAUGACUGAAAAAGUGAAGGAAAUUAAAGACUAUCAGAACUAAAUGUGAUGUGCACAUCUGCCUAGGGAAGAAAUAGCAAUUGCUGAGGUACAAACAAAUGUGAUUCCUAAAAAUCAAGCUAUCAAAUUGUAUUGCAACUCUUUGGUUUUUUAAGUCACUGUUAAAAUGUAAGAGGAGG